ACUUAAAUUGAAGAGUUUGAUCAUGGCUCAGAUUGAACGCUGGCGGCAGGCCUAACACAUGCAAGUCGAGCGGUAGCACAGAGAGCUUGCUCUCGGGUGACGAGCGGCGGACGGGUGAGUAAUGUCUGGGAAACUGCCUGAUGGAGGGGGAUAACUACUGGAAACGGUAGCUAAUACCGCAUAACGUCGCAAGACCAAAGUGGGGGACCUUCGGGCCUCAUGCCAUCAGAUGUGCCCAGAUGGGAUUAGCUAGUAGGUGGGGUAAUGGCUCACCUAGGCGACGAUCCCUAGCUGGUCUGAGAGGAUGACCAGCCACACUGGAACUGAGACACGGUCCAGACUCCUACGGGAGGCAGCAGUGGGGAAUAUUGCACAAUGGGCGCAAGCCUGAUGCAGCCAUGCCGCGUGUAUGAAGAAGGCCUUCGGGUUGUAAAGUACUUUCAGCGAGGAGGAAGGCGUUAAGGUUAAUAACCUUGGUGAUUGACGUUACUCGCAGAAGAAGCACCGGCUAACUCCGUGCCAGCAGCCGCGGUAAUACGGAGGGUGCAAGCGUUAAUCGGAAUUACUGGGCGUAAAGCGCACGCAGGCGGUCUGUCAAGUCGGAUGUGAAAUCCCCGGGCUCAACCUGGGAACUGCAUUCGAAACUGGCAGGCUAGAGUCUUGUAGAGGGGGGUAGAAUUCCAGGUGUAGCGGUGAAAUGCGUAGAGAUCUGGAGGAAUACCGGUGGCGAAGGCGGCCCCCUGGACAAAGACUGACGCUCAGGUGCGAAAGCGUGGGGAGCAAACAGGAUUAGAUACCCUGGUAGUCCACGCCGUAAACGAUGUCGACUUGGAGGUUGUGCCCUUGAGGCGUGGCUUCCGGAGCUAACGCGUUAAGUCGACCGCCUGGGGAGUACGGCCGCAAGGUUAAAACUCAAAUGAAUUGACGGGGGCCCGCACAAGCGGUGGAGCAUGUGGUUUAAUUCGAUGCAACGCGAAGAACCUUACCUACUCUUGACAUCCAGAGAACUUAGCAGAGAUGCUUUGGUGCCUUCGGGAACUCUGAGACAGGUGCUGCAUGGCUGUCGUCAGCUCGUGUUGUGAAAUGUUGGGUUAAGUCCCGCAACGAGCGCAACCCUUAUCCUUUGUUGCCAGCGAUUCGGUCGGGAACUCAAAGGAGACUGCCAGUGAUAAACUGGAGGAAGGUGGGGAUGACGUCAAGUCAUCAUGGCCCUUACGAGUAGGGCUACACACGUGCUACAAUGGCAUAUACAAAGAGAAGCGACCUCGCGAGAGCAAGCGGACCUCAUAAAGUAUGUCGUAGUCCGGAUUGGAGUCUGCAACUCGACUCCAUGAAGUCGGAAUCGCUAGUAAUCGUAGAUCAGAAUGCUACGGUGAAUACGUUCCCGGGCCUUGUACACACCGCCCGUCACACCAUGGGAGUGGGUUGCAAAAGAAGUAGGUAGCUUAACCUUCGGGAGGGCGCUUACCACUUUGUGAUUCAUGACUGGGGUGAAGUCGUAACAAGGUAACCGUAGGGGAACCUGCGGUUGGAUCACCUCCUUACCUUAAAGAA
RNAcentral lists this ribosomal RNA (1554 nucleotides) under Klebsiella aerogenes. Its description in RNAcentral is "16S ribosomal RNA". It matches the Rfam family "Bacterial small subunit ribosomal RNA". Lineage: Bacteria; Pseudomonadati; Pseudomonadota; Gammaproteobacteria; Enterobacterales; Enterobacteriaceae. The record is from RNAcentral.